RNAcentral lists this ribosomal RNA (797 nucleotides) under Listeria monocytogenes. Its description in RNAcentral is "partial 23S ribosomal RNA". It matches the Rfam family "Bacterial large subunit ribosomal RNA", at positions 1360 to 2153 of the family's 2925-position model. Lineage: Bacteria; Bacillati; Bacillota; Bacilli; Caryophanales; Listeriaceae. The record is from RNAcentral.
GAAGGCUCGUCCGCUCAGGGUUAGUCGGGACCUAAGCCGAGGCCGAUAGGCGUAGGCGAUGGACAACAGGUAGAGAUUCCUGUACCAGUGCUAAUUGUUUAACCGAUGGGGUGACACAGAAGGAUAGGGAAUCGCACGAAUGGAAAUGUGCGUCCAAGCAGUGAGUGUGAGAAGUAGGCAAAUCCGCUUCUCGCGAAGCAUGAGCUGUGAUGGGGAAGGAAAUUAAGUACGGAAGUUCCUGAUUUCACGCUGUCAAGAAAAGCCUCUAGGAAGAGUAGUACUGCCCGUACCGCAAACCGACACAGGUAGAUGAGGAGAGAAUCCUAAGGUGAGCGAGAGAACUCUCGUUAAGGAACUCGGCAAAAUGACCCCGUAACUUCGGGAGAAGGGGUGCUCUAUUAGGGUGCAAGCCCGAGAGAGCCGCAGUGAAUAGGCCCAGGCGACUGUUUAGCAAAAACACAGGUCUCUGCAAAACCGUAAGGUGACGUAUAGGGGCUGACGCCUGCCCGGUGCUGGAAGGUUAAGAGGAGUGCUUAGCUUCGGCGAAGGUACGAAUUGAAGCCCCAGUAAACGGCGGCCGUAACUAUAACGGUCCUAAGGUAGCGAAAUUCCUUGUCGGGUAAGUUCCGACCCGCACGAAAGGCGCAACGAUCUGGGCACUGUCUCAACGAGAGACUCGGUGAAAUUAUAGUACCUGUGAAGAUGCAGGUUACCCGCGACAGGACGGAAAGACCCCGUGGAGCUUUACUGCAACCUGAUAUGGAAUGUUUGUACCGCUUGUACAGGAUAGGUAGGAG